UUUGAUUUCUCUAUCAAUAUCAAAGUUGGUUGUUAGUUUUAUUUUCUUAUCUUCAUGAUAACAUCUCAAUUUUUAUGAUUUACAAUUGAUUAAAUAAAAUAUUAUAAGAUUAAUAAAAAACAGAUUAUUUCAAAAUAUAUAUAAUAUUAAUAUAAUUAUCUAAAAAAUGUAAUAAUAAAACAUAUCUAAAACAACUAAAGAAAAAACAUAAGAAAAACAAAAAGAAAAAAAAAAAAGAAACACCUAUCCAUUGCUUGCUCAUACCAAUAAGGUGACUAUUAAAAAAAAACAAAAACAUAAGAAAAACAAAAAAAAAACAACAAUAUAAGUUAAUGUGCAAAAAAGUUUUCAUAAAACAAACAUAGAAAUAUUAUUAUACAUCACUUGUUUAUACAAAGAAUCAUAUCACAUAUAAAGACUCGUUCUAGACUGGAUUAUUUGAACAAAAUCAUUGAUGUGAAAUUUCGGGGCGUCUUGCACUUAUGGUGACCUCUACUGCUCUACAGUUAAUGGGUUUCGUCUUACCACACACAAGGCUAGUCCAUUAUCAUUUUUGGCUAAAGUAAAACCCCUAAAUUAGGACCUCAUAUACCUCUCACCACAUACCAUAUUCUACCCUACUUGAGCUUGAGUGAUUAUUCGAACAACAAGAUAACCUCUAACAUUUAGACUCCCGCAUUAAUGCGUAUGCUAAAGAAAUGACACCAUAGCAUCUCCCCCAUGAUAACUAGAAUUAUGUCAAGCAC
RNAcentral lists this long non-coding RNA (746 nucleotides) under Vigna radiata. RNAcentral's name for it is "long non-coding RNA (VRAD_LNC007323)". Lineage: Eukaryota; Viridiplantae; Streptophyta; Magnoliopsida; Fabales; Fabaceae. The record is from RNAcentral.